UUUUUGCCACACCUGCAGCAUAUGGAAGUUCCCAGGCCAGGGAUUGAAUCCAAGCUGCAGCUUUGAGCUAUGCCGUAGCUACGGUCACACUGGAUCCUUAAACUGCUUCGCCAUAGCGGGAGCUCCUCAGCUAACAUUUGGGUCGUUGUAAUGAGCUCCACUUCACAUCAAAUCAUGAUUCACAGCAUAGGGGAGUUUGUUGUAACAUGAAUACUUAAAAUUAUGAAAUACCGAAGUUAGAGGCAUUUAGCCCUGAAGAAAAGGGAACUGAGAGCUCAGACUCCUCUAGAUGUGGCCUGAAGAGGCAGAAACAGGGCUCUGUCGCCUUUUCCCUGACCUGGCUCUAGAGAGUUAGGAUGUGACAUAGGGUCCCACUGUUAGGAAUACUGCCAUGUGAAUAACACAGUCCUCACGCAGCUGUGUGACCUACACCUCUUCUUUGGGACCUGCAUGGUCAUCAGACUUCCCUGCUGUGACCUCUGUCUGCUCCUUUUUUUCUAUUGAGGCAUCAUAUAGAGAGUGUCCCAGAGGCCAGGGGAGGAGUGUCUGCAGGAUGGGACAGAAGCUUUCAGUGUCCCAGUGUUCUCACUGGGUGACCUUCAGAUUGUUGGCUUGCUUGUUUGGGAGGGUUGUUUUUGUGUUUUUGAAGAGGAAAAAAAGCAAAAUGUAUUGUCGUUGGUAGAAGGGCAUGAAGCAGAGGGUUCUUCACCCACCCCAACAUUUCGUAUAGGUGGGAGGGAGGUUGUGGGAAACAGAAAAGGCAGUAGAGGGAGUUCCCUGGUGGCUCAGAGAGGUAGGGAUCUGGUGUUGUCCCUGCUGUGACUCGGGUUGCUGCGGUGGUGCAGGUUCAAUCCCUGGCCCAAGAACUUCCACAUGGCAUGGGCGUGACCAAAAAAGGCAGUCGAUGGGGGUGCACACCCCACUCUGUACAAUAUAGAAGAAUCUGAAAUAGAUGCUAUAGAAGCCACUUGUCCCGCAUUGUUAAGUGUGUUUGAAAGUUUACAUUUCUCACUGCUCCCGAGGUUGAGGUGCUUUUACAUGUUUAUGGGCCACUUGUAUUUCUUCAUUCAUAACUUGUUUGUUCAUAUAUACUGUCCAGUUGCCCACUGCGAAUUUUAUAUCCUCUCAUUAUUCAUAGAAGCAAUUUAUUACAUAUUAAGAAUAAUAACCAAGCAAGUCACCUAAUGUCUCUAGAGCUUGACUUCCUUAUCAAUUAAAGGAGGAAAGUGGAGCUGGUUCAUCUCUUAAUCUCCCUCCACUUUUAACAUGAGGUUGUUCUUCCGAUUUGGACAUUUUAUCAAUCACAUGGUCGUAACAAUAGGGCAUGGGGACCUUGCUGGUUGCGUAUGAAGGAAAAGGCACCCUGGAGAAAGGGUUUUUUGUGUUUUGAGGCUAUCCUACUGUACAGGUUUUUCAGAGUCAAGCAAAACAUCUAAGUUGGAGCAAUUUGAUAUUUUAUUGUAAAGCCCAUGUCAUUUUCAGAGGUGGCCUUCCAGGUGUCCCUAAGGCUUUUCACCCCUCCUGAUGACCACUUCAGAGGCAGAGCCACAUUUGUGCUCUUUUCCUAUGACCUGUGUAGGGUGCCGCCUCAGGAGGUCCGAGGUGGUUCACAGCCAGACAAUAACACCACUCAAAGAUAACCAGGAUCGAACCUUCGUCCUCAUGGAUGCUAGUCAGAUUUGUUUCUGCUGAACCAUGAUGGGAAUUCCAAGACAGAGUUUUAGAAUUAGAAGGAAUCUUAGAGACCAUCUGACCCAACACCCUGAAAUCACAGUGGAGAUACUAAGCCUGUGAACUGAAAGGAAUGUGAUUCUGGCCAUGCAACAGUGCACCACUGUUUGGAUGCUUGGAUGCUUCUGCUAGAUAAUUCUUCACACUCCUUAAGCUUCCAUUGACUUGUUGCAAUUGAGUGAUAUAAUAGCUAAGAAAACUGUUUGGAAUUGUUAGGAGACCUAUAAUGAAACAGUGCUCUUGGCUGCACCAAGGUGAAUCCUAAAAUCUCAGUGACUUCAUACAACAGAGUUUUACAUCUGACUCAUGUUAAGUCCAGGGCUUCGUGUUCUUGGUUGAUGGGUAAUGUUCCUGCGGUCAUCGAGGACUGAGGCUCCUUCCCUCUUCCAACUCCAUUCACCUCUAGAACUUUAGAAUUCCCUCCAUCCUACAGAAGGGAGAAGAGAAAAGAAUAGCUCUGUGAAGUUUUAUAGGCCAGGCCUGGAGAUGGUGGCCAGUGUUUUUAUUCAUUCCAUUGCCUGGAAUUCAGGCACACAGCCAUAGCUCAUCUCAGAGAGACUGGGAGUGUGGUCCAGCUGCGUACCCAGGAAGCAGGCAGGGCACAGAUAUUGAUAUGAGUCUGUGUCACAAAGGACAAUGCAAAUGCAAGAUAGGAGUUCUCGCUGUGUCGCAGUGGGUUAGGCAGCAGCCCAGGUUGCUGCGGAGGCGAAGUUUGGAUGCCUGGCCCCAGUGCAGUGGGUUAAAGGAUCAAGCAUUGCUGCAGUAGCAGCUGUGGCUCAAAUUCAAUUCCUGGCCCAAGAACUUCCAUAUGCUGCAGGUGUGGCCAUUUUUUAAAAUUCACAAUAAUGUCAAGUAAGUAAGGCUAGCAAGGACUUGGUCUUUAUGUUGAAGUCAUCAUUUUUCUGGGUGGCUCAGCAGUUGUUGUCACUGCUGUGGCUCAGGUCACUGCUGUGGCAUGGAGUUGAUCCCUGGUCCCAGGAACUUCUGCAGGCCAUGGCCAAGGCCAAAAAAUAAAAUAUAUGUUACGGUCCUCUGCACCUCCUCUGGGUAAUGUCAGCAUCUCUAGAUGGGGCUGAAAUGAUCUGUUUUCCCCACCUGUUCUAGUUGCUUCUGGAGUGGCAUGGUAUCAUGAAAAGAACUUUGGAGUCAUAUGUUCUUGGGUCCAAAUCUCCAGUUUGCCUCUUAUUAAGAUCAUAAAUUUCAGCAAGUCAAUUAAGGUCUAGUAGCCUCAAUUCCCUUAUUGUCAAGUUAGGGACAGAAAGCAUCCUAAUGUUGCAGUGAGACUCUAAUUAAAUCAGUAAACAUUUAUGGAGGUUCAUCCUAUGUGACAAGUUUGGUACCUAGGGAAACAGCCGAGAGUAAAUAAAUAAGGUACAGAGUUAUAUGCCUGCAGUCCUUGUCCCUGGUAGGCAUUUAAUAAACAUGAAGGCUGGAGUUCCCAUUGUGGCUCCGUUAAGAAUCCAACUAGUAUCCAUGAGGAUGCAGAUUCAAUCCCUGGCCUCACUCAGUGGGUUAACGAUCAGACAUUGUUGCAAGCUGUAGGGUAGGUCGCAGAUGCAGCUUGGAUCCAGUGUUGCCAUGGCCGUGGUGUAGACCACAGUGUAGCUCCUAUUCUACUCUUAGAGUGGCAGCUUCCAUAUGCCACAGGUGCAACCCUAAAAAGAAAAAGAAAAAAAA
RNAcentral lists this long non-coding RNA (3408 nucleotides) under Sus scrofa (pig). RNAcentral's name for it is "lncRNA (ENSSSCG00040043321.1)". Lineage: Eukaryota; Metazoa; Chordata; Mammalia; Artiodactyla; Suidae. The record is from RNAcentral.